This 1179-nucleotide ribosomal RNA is filed under the name human gut metagenome. Its description in RNAcentral is "bacterial SSU rRNA". It matches the Rfam family "Bacterial small subunit ribosomal RNA", at positions 222 to 1425 of the family's 1533-position model. The record is from RNAcentral.
AGGAUGGACUCGCGUCCAAUUAGCUAGUUGGUGAGGUAACGGCCCACCAAGGCGACGAUUGGUAGCCGGACUGAGAGGUUGAACGGCCACAUUGGGACUGAGACACGGCCCAGACUCCUACGGGAGGCAGCAGUGGGGGAUAUUGCACAAUGGGGGAAACCCUGAUGCAGCGACGCCGCGUGGAGGAAGAAGGUUUUCGGAUUGUAAACUCCUGUCGUUAGGGACGAUAAUGACGGUACCUAACAAGAAAGCACCGGCUAACUACGUGCCAGCAGCCGCGGUAAAACGUAGGGUGCAAGCGUUGUCCGGAAUUACUGGGUGUAAAGGGAGCGCAGGCGGACCGGCAAGUUGGAAGUGAAAACUAUGGGCUCAACCCAUAAAUUGCUUUCAAAACUGCUGGCCUUGAGUAGUGCAGAGGUAGGUGGAAUUCCCGGUGUAGCGGUGGAAUGCGUAGAUAUCGGGAGGAACACCAGUGGCGAAGGCGACCUACUGGGCACCAACUGACGCUGAGGCUCGAAAGCAUGGGUAGCAAACAGGAUUAGAUACCCUGGUAGUCCAUGCCGUAAACGAUGAUUACUAGGUGUUGGAGGAUUGACCCCUUCAGUGCCGCAGUUAACACAAUAAGUAAUCCACCUGGGGAGUACGACCGCAAGGUUGAAACUCAAAGGAAUUGACGGGGGCCCGCACAAGCAGUGGAGUAUGUGGUUUAAUUCGAAGCAACGCGAAGAACCUUACCAGGUCUUGACAUCCGAUGCAUAGUGCAGAGAUGCAUGAAGUCCUUCGGGACAUCGAGACAGGUGGUGCAUGGUUGUCGUCAGCUCGUGUCGUGAGAUGUUGGGUUAAGUCCCGCAACGAGCGCAACCCUUAUUGCCAGUUACUACGUAAGAGGACUCUGGCGAGACUGCCGUUGACAAAACGGAGGAAGGUGGGGAUGACGUCAAAUCAUCAUGCCCUUUAUGACCUGGGCUACACACGUACUACAAUGGCGUUUAACAAAGAGAAGCAAGACCGCGAGGUGGAGCAAAACUCAAAAACAACGUCUCAGUUCAGAUUGCAGGCUGCAACUCGCCUGCAUGAAGUCGGAAUUGCUAGUAAUCGCGGAUCAGCAUGCCGCGGUGAAUACGUUCCCGGGCCUUGUACACACCGCCCGUCACACCAUGAGAGCCGGGGGGACCCGAA